UCUAUCUCUUUUAGGAGUUGUAUGGUUUCACAUCUUACAUUCCAGUCUUUAAUCUAUUUUGAGUUCAUCUUUGUGUGUGGUGUAAGA
This is a long non-coding RNA of Mustela erminea (ermine), 87 nucleotides long. RefSeq lists it as uncharacterized. Lineage: Eukaryota; Metazoa; Chordata; Mammalia; Carnivora; Mustelidae. The record is from RefSeq and is a predicted model, not a curated record. The transcript has 3 exons.